AGCAGCCGCGGUAAUUCCAGCUCCAAUAGCGUAUAUUAAAGUUGUUGCAGUUAAAAAGCUCGUAGUUGAAUUUCGGGGUCAGUAAGUUGGUCGUGCCACUGGUAUGUACUGGCUUUACUGAUUCCUCCUUCUUGUGGAACCGUAAUGCCAUUAAGUUGGUGUUGCGGGAAAACAGGACUGUUACUUUGAAAAAAUUAGAGUGUUUAAAGCAAGCUAACGCUUGAAUACAUUAGCAUGGAAUAAUGAAAUAGGACGAACGAUCCUAUUUUGUUGGUUUCUAGGAUUGACGUAAUGAUUAAUAGGGAUAGUUGGGGGCAUUAGUAUUCAAUUGUCAGAGGUGAAAUUCUUGGAUUUAUUGAAGACUAACUACUGCGAAAGCAUUUGCCAAGGAUGUUUUCAUUAAUCAAGAACGAAAGUUAGGGGAUCGAAGACGAUCAGAUACCGUCGUAGUCUUAACCAUAAACUAUGCCGACUAGGAAUCAGACGAUGUUAAUUUUUUUAAUGACUCG
RNAcentral lists this ribosomal RNA (509 nucleotides) under uncultured Glomus. RNAcentral describes it as "SSU rRNA". It matches the Rfam family "Eukaryotic small subunit ribosomal RNA", at positions 569 to 1078 of the family's 1831-position model. Lineage: Eukaryota; Fungi; Glomeromycota; Glomeromycetes; Glomerales; Glomeraceae. The record is from RNAcentral.